Molecule: long non-coding RNA, 3441 nt
Filed under: Homo sapiens (human)
Lineage: Eukaryota; Metazoa; Chordata; Mammalia; Primates; Hominidae
Description: HSALNT0116790
Source: RNAcentral
GUGGCUCCCCACACGUAAGCAGCAGCUCCCCCCACACACGGCCCUCCCCACACACACACACCCGGCGGCUCCCCCCACCACACGGUGACUCCCCCUCACACAGCAGCUCCCCCCACACACGGCCCUCCCCCCACACACACACACCCGGCGGCUCCCCCCACCACACGGUGACUCCCCCUCACACAGCAGCUCCCCCCACACACGGCCCUCCCCCCACACACACCUGGCGGCUCCCCCCACCACACGGUGACUCCCCCUCACACAGCAGCUCCCCCCACACACGGCCCUCCCCACACACACACACCCGGCGGCUCCCCCCACCACACGGUGACUCCCCCUCACACAGCAGCUCCCCCCACACACGGCCCUCCCCACACACACACACCCGGCGGCUCCCCCCACCACACGGUGACUCCCCCUCACACAGCAGCUCCCCCCACACACGGCCCUCCCCACACACACACACCUGGCGGCUCCCCCCACCACACGGUGACUCCCCCUCACACAGCAGCUCCCCCCACACACGGCCCUCCCCACACACACACACCCGGCGGCUCCCCCCACCACACGGUGACUCCCCCUCACACAGCAGCUCCCCCCACACACGGCCCUCCCCCCACACACACACCCGGCGGCUCCCCCCACCACACGGUGACUCCCCCUCACACAGCAGCUCCCCCCACACACGGCCCUCCCCCCACACACACACCCGGCGGCUCCCCCACACAGAGCUGGGAGGCUCCAGUACUCUCGGAGCUUGGCUGGGGCUCCUGGGGAGGGCCGUGGCUCCUCCUCACCCGCUGGGGAGCCAGGAGUUCCGUGAGUGGUUGAAGCCCUGCUGGGAGGGUUGGGCGUUUCCAGCCAUUCUCACACGGCUUCUCAGCCGGGGUCUCCCACCCCGGCCCUGGCCCUGGGCCUGCCCUCACUGCCUCCUCCCCAUCCCCUACCCCUAGAGGCCUCCUGCCCUGGUCACCUACGCGUCACCUAAGCCCCGAGGCCAGGCGGCUUCUUGUCUACUAAAGACUUCCGGAGAGAGGCAUUCACCCUGUGGUCAGAGCUGGGGUUUCCAUGGAGGAGCACCACAGCCAUAAAGAAAGGCUGGUGAGCCCCAGAGCGGAGGACCCUGCCGAGCUGUUUCCAGACUCCUGAUCCACAGAAACCGUGAGAGGAUAACAUUGUUCUGCUUGAAGCCACUACACCUGCCGUCACUUGUCUCGCAUCAUUAGGGAACCAACGUGCUCUGGAAGACAGCAACUCUCAGGGUCCAUUCCGCUGACACCAGCGCCUCAGAUGACACAGGACGUGGCAUGGUGGCUAUUGACUCAUCAAGGGAACAGCAAUGGUAACAACAAAACCUGGUUGUUCAGAAGUCACACACUCAAGGCCCUACGGGGCCAAGAGGGGUCCAGGAGCAGCCCAGUGAGCGGGGCAGGGGAGGGGUGCAGUCCACCCAGGACCCGUGCUGCCCACAGGCUGCUGCUGUGCUCGGAGAGGGCCUGCCACAUGUGUCCGCAGAGAGAAUCCGGGAAUGCAAAUUUCUAAGCGAAUUUCUCCAUACUUCAAUGUUUGACAAUCAGUAAUUUUUCUUUGUAAUUGAUUUUUUAAAUGUGAAACUCUUUUCAGGCAAACAAAACACACUUGCAGGCUGCCAUUACACAAUUUUGUUUUAAUCAUUUUAAGGUCUUCAUUGUCUUUUACACAAAAGCUGGGAAUAUUCUCCCUCUUUCCAGAAUUCAACUGGUUUAGUGACUAGGAAGAUAUUUUGUAAUACAUUUUUUUAAAAAAGAAAACCAUGAAGGAAUAUUUCAAAUAAGAAGCUGACUAGCUUAAAUUAAUAGCUGUUAAGUAUUAAAUAUGAUGUGCUUUCUCUUAAACUAGGCCACUCUGCACCUUGCAUUCCUAUCCUUUUUUGGGCUUCAGAUCAGAAAUCGCAACUUUUGCGUGGAGAUCCUGGGCCUCCACACUGCUGGCCUCCCAUCGUCCCAAGAAUGACUCCCUGGAAAGAGCCUGUUCAGACCCUUUGUGACUGGACUCUACUGUAAGAGGAGAAUCAAAUGCUUGCAAGAAAACUGUAAAGCAGAGUUUCCUAAAAUACAUUUCAUAAGCGUGAGUGCCAGGAGUGCCUUAAAAAUGUGACUCUAUUGUCAAAUAAGUUGGGCAAUUUACUGAAGUAUACAUGAAUAUGUUAAAACCUCCAAGGAGUCCUGAAUUUAAAACAAACCUACACACAAAAACAAAGGUAUUUUUUAACCUAUCUGUUUGUUUGUUUGUUUUUGUUUGUUCAUUUGUUUUGAGACAGACUCUGGCUCUGUCACUCAGGCUGGAGUGCAGUGGCGCAAACUCGGCUUAUUGCAACCUCCGCCUCCCAGGCUCAAGCAAUCCUCUCACCUCACCCUCCUGAGUAGCCCGCCACCAUGCCCAGCUAAUUUUUUGUAGUUUUGGUAGAGACAGCGUUUCACCAUAUUGCCCAGGCUGAUCUUGAACUCCUGACCUCAAGUCAUCCUCCUGCCUCAACCUCCCAAAAUGCUAGGAUUACAGGUGUGAGCCACCAGGCCCAGCCUAAAUUAUCUUUAACCCACUGUUUUCCUCAAAUUAUUUUAACAGAUAGCUCUUUUUAAAAAUAAAUAAAUAAAUAAACACUUUUACUAUCCCAAGUACUAAUAGGAAAUACUUCGAAAAAUGUGACCCAGGACCCCGCAGUGAGCUUCUCACACACCUGACUUCACCUCCAGUGGAAGGAAAUCUGCGGCCUGCUGAAAUAAGAGAUGAAGGAACUAAAAGAAAAUCCCCAACAUUUUUACUUUCAAAAACCCUAAUAAAUGGUACAAAUAGAAACAAAUAGCAUGAGAGACUUAAAUCUGCUAUAUUGAUGGUUACAUUUAAUUAGUGGUCUAGAGACUCCUAUUAGAAGGCAAAACUUGUCAGAAUGGAUAAAGCACUAGGGCCCAACUCUACAGUAUGCGCAAGAGAUGAACUUCAUACACACAGGUAGAAAUAGGUUAGAAGAGAAAAGAGGGAAAAAGACGCUCCAUGCAAACAGUAAUCAUAGGAAAGCUGGGUGGUACCAAGUAUUCUAAGAACAGAUGUGCCUGAUGAUAGAGCUUCAAAUAUGUGAAAAAAAAACUGACACCUGAAAGACGAAGUAAGUCCACAAUUACAGUUAUACCUUUCCGCGUUCCCCUGUCAGUAACUGCUCGACAGAAAGUCAGUAAGAGCACAGAAGGCUUGAAAAACACUAAAACCCGGCUCGAUCCACUUAACAUUGCUUAAGCAUUCCAUCCCACACGUGCAGACUAUAAUUAUGUUCUGAUAGAACGCUGAUCAAAAUAGACCACAUUCUAAGCCAUGAAACAAGACUCAAUAAAGUUAAAAGAACUGAAAUCAUGUAUAAUACAUUUUCUGGGCUGGGCGCGGUGGCUCAUGCCUGCAAUCCCAGCACUU